Molecule: non-coding RNA, 169 nt
Organism: Caerostris extrusa
Lineage: Eukaryota; Metazoa; Arthropoda; Arachnida; Araneae; Araneidae
Source: the annotation of a GenBank genome assembly
AACGGCCAUACCAUGCUGAAUAUACCGGUUCUCGUUCGAUCACCGAAGUCAAGUCAUUCGAGGGUGGGUGGGAAAGGGGCACCUGAGCCAAAGAGAGCUUUUAUCCCCAGCAGCAUUGGACGCGGUCAUUACUUGGGUGGGUGACCACCUGGGAACACCGCGUGCCGUU